UAGCGUUGUUCGGAAUUACUGGGCGUAAAGCGAACGUAGGCGGUGUUCCAUGUCAGAGGUGAAAGCCUGGGGCUCAACUCCAGAAUUGCCUUUGAAACGGGAACGCUUGAGUCCGAGAGAGGAUGGCGGAAUUCCUAGUGUAGAGGUGAAAUUCGUAGAUAUUAGGAAGAACACCAGUGGCGAAGGCGGCCAUCUGGCGCGGUACUGACGCUCAGGUUCGAAAGCGUGGGGAGCAAACAGG
RNAcentral lists this ribosomal RNA (241 nucleotides) under uncultured bacterium. RNAcentral describes it as "partial 16S ribosomal RNA". It matches the Rfam family "Bacterial small subunit ribosomal RNA", at positions 536 to 776 of the family's 1533-position model. The record is from RNAcentral.